RNAcentral lists this long non-coding RNA (346 nucleotides) under Vigna radiata. RNAcentral's name for it is "long non-coding RNA (VRAD_LNC012912)". The record is from RNAcentral. Lineage: Eukaryota; Viridiplantae; Streptophyta; Magnoliopsida; Fabales; Fabaceae.
UGCAUGGGAGGGGAGGAAAACAUGGUUUUAUUGUGUGUUUAAGGCACAUGCUUAUUUCCUUGAAGAAUGGUGCACAUGGGACAAGAAGUCAACACAUUUUGGUGGCUUAUUGAAGGUGGAAAUUGAAGUUUGACUUGUUGAAACAUGACUCACAGCCAAGAGGUUUCCUUAGGCCAUUUGGACUUUUAAUUUAUUUGUUAAUUGCAUAUUGGGUCACUUAAUUUACUAGAAGUAAAAUAGGCUUGUUAAUUUCUCUUGUUUUCACUUAGUUUAAUUAGUAGGUUGAGUUGUCUUCAUGUGUUUGAGUUAGUGUUGCAUUUAAUUAUUUAACUGUGUUAGAUAAUUU